CCUACGGGUGGCAGCAGUGGGGAAUAUUGGACAAUGGGGGGAACCCUGAUCCAGCGACGCCGCGUGAGUGAAGAAGUAUUUCGGUAUGUAAAGCUCUAUCAGCAGGGAAGAAAGAAAUGACGGUACCUGACUAAGAAGCCCCGGCUAACUACGUGCCAGCAGCCGCGGGAAUACGUAGGGGGCAAGCGUUAUCCGGAUUGACUGGGGGUAAAGGGAGCGUAGACGGCGAUGCAAGUCUGAAGUGAAAGGCGGGGGCCCAACCCCCGGACUGCUUUGGAAACUGUAUGGCUGGAGUGCAGGAGAGGUAAGUGGAAUUCCUAGUGUAGCGGUGAAAUGCGUAGAUAUUAGGAGGAACACCAGUGGCGAAGGCGGCUUACUGGACCGUAACUGACGUUGAGGCUCGAAAGCGUGGGGAGCAAACAGGAUUAGAUACCCUUGUAGUC
RNAcentral lists this ribosomal RNA (443 nucleotides) under uncultured bacterium. RNAcentral's name for it is "partial 16S ribosomal RNA". It matches the Rfam family "Bacterial small subunit ribosomal RNA", at positions 338 to 795 of the family's 1533-position model. The record is from RNAcentral.